AUAAAUAUUGAUUCAAACUCAUCUACUAUAAUCCGUUCCACAAUAUAAACCGUCUUGUAAUCUCUUAACUCAUCUCAUGUAAUAUUUA
Molecule: small RNA, 88 nt
Filed under: Arabidopsis thaliana (thale cress)
Lineage: Eukaryota; Viridiplantae; Streptophyta; Magnoliopsida; Brassicales; Brassicaceae
Description: ATSL215600
Source: RNAcentral